GUAUUCUGAAAUAGUAAAUCCUUGAUGGGAGACAAAGCUGGAGGGAAGAAGGGAAGAAAACUACCUUGUGAAAGUAAAAAGAGGUACCCUCUCCCCUCAGCAGCCCCAGAGCACACUAUUUUUCAGUCCAUGAAUUACAAGAAAGCAUAUGUGUGUUUCAGAGAGAAGUGAGUUUUAAGCAAAAAUAAAGUCCGUGUGCAUAGGGACUUUUCAGUAUAUGUCAUUUACUAUAAAUUUAAAAAGAACAUUCAGCUUCAGUCCAGUUACAGUUACUUUAGUACUAAAUUCUAUUUCAGAAGCUUUUAAAUUGCCAGAAGAUGUGCUACAAAGCAACUUUCCUUUGUCUUGUAAACUUUCCAGUGUGCAGACAGAAAAAGCUGGUUUCUGGUUUCAUUAUAACUGUACUGAUGUAUCACAGAGAAAAACAGCAGAAACGCAUCUAAUGAAAGUAUAUACCUUUACUAGUGGUUAGGCUGUUGCUAUGUAGGAAUCCAAAAACAAAUAGUUCAAUUGCUGGGGUUACUUCCAGGCCUGGGGAAAAUCUUCAGCAUAGCAGAUUCCUCUCUAAAGCACCUCUUGGCAAGGAGGCCCUUUAGUGUAAGGUUGGCUCCUUAGAAGCACAGUGUGUUGCACCUCUGCUUUUAGAUUACAUCAAAGAAUAGAAAGCUCAAGAAAGAUAUUAAGACCUGCAUUCAUUUUUCUGUUUCUUCACAGACUUCACAGCAUGCUUUGCCUUUUCUCCAUAUUCUCUUUCCACCAGCCAUUUCUAUUUUCUUUCCUCAGCUGAUGCUCCAUUUGAAGCAGAUACUUCUCUCUUUUGCUCUGAUCUUAGGACUCUUAAACUCUUUUGUGACUUAAGCAAUUCCUAAGUUACCCUUCUCAUAGCUAUCUGUACCACACAGACUUGUCCGUGCUGGACUGAUUACCACUGCUCCAUAGUUCUGCUGACAAAGCAGCUCCUCCAACUGCUUUCAAAUCAAAUUACAGCUUGAAUAGUUUAAAGUAUUUUUUAAACUGAACUUACUGAUGUCUGAAACAGGAAAGCUAACUCAAGUGAGCUUUUCCAAAAGCAAAUUUCACCACAGAAGCUGUCAGUCACCUCACUAGUGGUAAUAUCAAAUUGCGACUUCAAUUGGAAAGUGAUCAGCAAAGGCACCUCCAUCUGUAAUCCGCCUGCAUCCUCCUUCUUUUCACUUCCUGCACAUUCUUUUCAGGCUCUUGCUUCACUACCUUUGUCCUGAGGUCAUGUGGACCCUCUUCAGUUGUUGUUUGUUUUUCUCUCCUCCCUCUCCCUAUUUUUUUUUCUUUUGAACUAAUUCAAAAUUCUAAGCAUCUUUCAAAGAGGUAAAUACAAAAAGCUUUUUAGGUACCAAGCAAAAUCCAUGCCUACUGAGUACCAAAGAGUGGUGAAAUUAAUAGCUUCAAUGAUGCUAACUUGUUAAGAGUUACAGAUUACAGAUCUUUUUAUUAAAACCUGGAUUACACCAACUAAAACUGAAUCCUUAUGUUCUUAUUUGCCUAGUCAGCUAUACAUAGAUUUCAUCAAAUCCCAAAUCACACUGUCCAUCCAUCCAGUUGGUGCCAGAAUGAAGUAUUUUUCCUGACAUCCUGCAUAAUGGCAGGUGUAAACAUCACCCAACAACUUCCGCAUAUAACCAACAACUUCACUUAAACCAGACCAUACAACACUAUCAUUAGAAAGAUCUCUGAUAUUUAAAGAUUUCAAAAGGCAGUCAUGUUGACGUCUGUCAAUUGAAGUUGAUCCUAAGACUAACCUGUCACUUAAAAAUCUGCUUUUUGUCCAGGCUGCCUUUGUCUAACACUAGCUUCCAUCAAUGGAUUAUAAUUUACAUUUUUAUAUAGCAUUAAAGAGUCAUGCAUCAAAUUUAUAUUGAAGAUAGGUGAUCAAAUAACAUUUGAAUAUUGUCUGCAACCAUUAAAUACAGACAUUAAGGUCACAUUAGGGCAUGUUUCUAGGCCUGUAAUUGUUUUUGGAAGCUUUUCUGCUAUGUUUUAAAGUAGUGAUCUCUUUACAAUCAGACACUGCAGUCCUACUGAUUAACAGUCCUCAGCCUGUGUAUCAUGUUAACGUUAGCUUCAGCCUCGCUCUGGAAGGUAACAGUCGCUCCUUUUCACUGUCACUUCAUACCAGCUUCUUGCCUCUUGUUUUGUAAGUGUGACUGAUGUCAUUGAUUGGUUAUGUGUGACCUCACAUUUAAUUGCGUUAAAACACGAAGGUAGGUGCUUAGCGUUCUUCAUUGUUCCCUCAUUUCUUCACACAAUGGUUAGAAUAGCAUCUAGUAGAAUAGCACUUUUGUGAAUAUCCCAAACACGGACAUCAUAACACUCCACAUAAAAACCCUCCUUAAUUUUACACACUAGCUACCCCAUCCUUGAUGUCUUCAAUACAUCAAGACCUUGAAAAGCAGUAUUGUCACUCCUUGUCCACCAGGCAUAAAGAGCUAAAACAAUUUACAGCUUUAUUAUAACAUUUUCCUCUCCAGCCAAGAUCAAGAGAGAUCUCAGGAUGGGAGUGUCCUGGAGCUCCUGCCACUGUGUCCUUGCUUUUAAACCCAUGGCAAUGAAAAGCCUCCCUGCAGCCACAGAGGUGGUGGUGGAGAGCCUGCAUGCCGGACCACCUUCUGCUGUCCCGUCUUGCUCCCAGAGGUCCACAAAUUGGAUUAGAGAAACUGACCCUAUGUCAUGGCCCUGGUGACCGUGACUGUCUAUAAUCCUUCUGUGAACCUAAUGAUACAACUCUCACUUUUAGAAUAUUGUAGCAAACUCAAUAUGCAUGUCUUAUAAAAACUGCACAAGAAAUGUCCGAUCUUUGCUACAUAUGGAAGGGAAAUUGUGAAGCAUAAUAAAUCUAAGGUACAAAGAUCAUUAAACUAGAGACACUACAUGAAAAAAAGAAAAAGAUUUCAAGACAAAGUAUAUUUUGGUGGAAGUCUGCACCUCUCCAUCACUUGUGAAAGUGCAAACAAUCCCUUUUCAUCUGAUUUAAAAGUCAGUACUCACUCUUAGUUAUUUUGCCACUGUGUCAUUCCAGACAGACCACUGUGAAUGAUGAAUGCAGGCAGAGAAAUGGGGCACAAUUCUAGAAAUAGUUUUAAACUCUUCUAGUCCUCUAUAUAGAAAUUUGUCUUAGUGAUGUUACUUCUAGUGUGAAGUUAACCAACACCUAGGUAUUGGAAUCAAAUUAUAACAAAGACGCCUCCUCUUGCUAAGCAUAACCACUGAUUAAUGACAGAAGAGUACCAAAUGUUUUAUUUGUCCCUCCUUCCAUUCCCUAAACUUGUUAAGCAAAAAGACUUCCAGAGCAGAUUUCAAAUGCACACGUCUCAGGAGGAGUUGUACCAGCAGAGAGAGAGCUGUGCUUUCCAACCCGUACCAAUUGGAAAUGAUGCUCUGAGCAUCUGUGCUAUGACUGGUCAUUAAAAUGUUCCAGAUUCUGAUUUAAGUCUGCAAAGCUACUUCCAUUUUCCUAAGUAUCUUUCAGAUUUGCUGCAAAGAAUGCAAGUAGACCCCAAAACAUUAUUUUUAACAAAAGGAAAGAAAUCCCCUUGUUAGGCUGUUGGUCUGCAAGGGCUUGGAAUGGUUGAGAAUCUCCAGUGAUUUCACAGAUAAUCCAUACGUUUGUAUAGUUCACUGUAUCAAGCAGAGCUGAAUUUCCAAGCCAAAUUACACCCGUCUAUUUUUUAAACAGAAUUUAGUUGCUUUUUUAAAAAUCUAUUCAAAAGGGAUAUUCUGUCACUGAAUAAUUAAAUGGGAAUACCUUCUGAGUUUAACAGAGGGUUGGAUUUCGUCUUCUAUCUAAUGUAAAAUCUGCAAUGACAGCAGGAACGAUUUCACACCAAUACAACAGUCUACAUUUUUAUGCACAAUGCUAUAGAAAUUGAGGUCACAGUCUCCAUAGAGCUAUAGAGGGAUACUUGUGUUGUUGAAUUUCACUGCAAAUGGAAAGGAUUUAUGCCAUGAUCAGAAGUGUAGCUCUUUCCAGAGGGAGAUUCUCAAGCAGUUAUCAUGGGUAAAACAGUUUUUAGCUCCGUUAGCCAUUAAUUUAAUGAGUCUUCUAUAAUUUUUUUUUUUUUUUUUUUUUAUGACCAGUACCUUAGGUGCAGCUGAUAGGUGCAUAAUCCAGCCAAGCACCUAUUUCCUUGUCUCCUGGAGACAAAUGUUCUGCUUUUCUGAUUAAGGACUCACACAGCAAAACGUGACAGUAUUCCAAAACGCAGCGUAGUAAGCUUUCUGUGCUACGUAUUACAAAAGAGAAAAACAAUCCAUAGGUUGAGGUUUCAAGUCUUCAAGUUUGUUGGUGUUUGUUGGUUGGUUGGUGAGGUGUUUCUUUUGACGGGAAACUUAGUGCCAUGAUCUCUUUCUAGAGCAUAAAACUAUCAACAUUAUAGUUAGAAUAUUUUUUAUGUGUUUUACUUUCUAAAAGCUAAUAAAUAAAUAAAUAAAUAAAUAAAGCCUUAAAACAUUAAUGCAUCAUUAGUAGUGCCUGAACUCCUGAGGCACUGAAUGUAAUUUUCUAACAACAUACAGUGUAUGAUUUAGGUCUUCCACAAAACACUGGGUUCAUAACACAACCAUUACAAACCUGACUUCUUGGUUUUUUUUCUGGCUGAUUUCAGAACAGUUAAUGUCAACCUGAGCAACUUUUUCUUUCUCACUUAUAAAUGGUUUUAGAAGUGCUCUGCAGGGCAGCAGCAACUGCCAGCUUUCCCAGUAUGCUCUGAAGCAUGCUCUUUACAAAAAUACAGUUUCCUGAGUCUGACUGCUUGUAAAUGUGAUGCUGCUGGUGUCCAGGAGAGUAGCUGCUGUUGAUGGUUUCUCUCCUGCCCUCUGAAAUCCUCCAGCAGUCAGUGUCAUGCAGCCAAGCAAUGGCUCCACUGGAACUCAAGCAGAAUUCUCCCAUUAAAUCGUCAGUGAGCAGCAAAGCUACACCCUUCAUGGUGCGGCAAUAAAAGUGUGCAGAAGGUUUCCCUGGAGGUCACUGUGGAAUUGACAUCCCCAUGGUUAAAGCUUGUUUAGAAGGAAAAAAAAUGAAGAGUCUGCCAUGAGAUCAGCUGAAAGAGAAAGCCAUCUCUGGUUUAUCUUACGGUAUAAGCUGAAAUAGAGUUGUGUUUAUGACAGACCAGGUCUGCAAAAUUCUAUGGGAUUUUUUUUGUCAUUGUGCCCAGAAGGCAAUGUUGUAAUUGCAAAUACAGUGUGCAAAUAAAAAUUCUUAC
Molecule: long non-coding RNA, 5234 nt
Filed under: Gallus gallus (chicken)
Lineage: Eukaryota; Metazoa; Chordata; Aves; Galliformes; Phasianidae
Description: lncRNA (ENSGALG00010020072.1)
Source: RNAcentral